This 497-nucleotide ribosomal RNA is filed under the name uncultured bacterium. Its description in RNAcentral is "partial 16S ribosomal RNA". It matches the Rfam family "Bacterial small subunit ribosomal RNA", at positions 28 to 507 of the family's 1533-position model. The record is from RNAcentral.
GAUGAACGCUGGCGGCGUGCCUAAUACAUGCAAGUCGAGCGAACGGACGAGAAGCUUGCUUCUCUGAUGUUAGCGGCGGACGGGUGAGUAACACGUGGAUAACCUACCUAUAAGACUGGGAUAACUUCUGGAAACCGGAGCUAAUACCGGAUGAUAUUUUGAACCGCAUGGUUCAAAAGUGAAAGACGGUCUUGCUGUCACUUAUAGAUGGAUCCGCGCUGCAUUAGCUAGUUGGUAAGGUAACGGCUUACCAAGGCAACGAUGCAUAGCCGACCUGAGAGGGUGAUCGGCCACACUGGAACUGAGACACGGUCCAGACUCCUACGGGAGGCAGCAGUAGGGAAUCUUCCGCAAUGGGCGAAAGCCUGACGGAGCAACGCCGCGUGAGUGAUGAAGGUCUUCGGAUCGUAAAACUCUGUUAUUAGGGAAGAACAUAUGUGUAAGUAACUGUGCACAUCUUGACGGUACCUAAUCAGAAAGCCACGGCUAACUACGUG